UGAGCUGUAAAAAUAGUUUGAAAGCAAAUGGGGGAUAAGUGGCAAUAGAACACAGCCAAGAACUCUUCUGCGCGAGUCAGCGUGACGUGCAUGCGCGGGCUCAUCAUUUGAAUUAAAUAACGGACACAAGCAACGGGCGGAACGGUAAUCAAAGUGAUGGUCUCCUCGCCAGAGAAGCUCGCAGCAUUGAAUGGGGAAGCUUUGCUAUUUCUUUCGCUGGAAUCUCCGAUUGAAAACAUCAUCGUGUGCGCUUAGACUUCUGUUCCAGUUCUGACUAUACCACACUCUGCUUAUGUGGAUCACUGACUACUAUGUUCUCUGAAGUGGGGGAAACCAGAGCACCUGGAGGAAACCCACGCAAACUCCACACAGAGACGCCAACUGACCCAGCCAAGGCUCGAACCAACGACCUUCUUGCUGUGAGGCGCCACUGCAGCACAGAAUCUGAAG
Molecule: non-coding RNA, 450 nt
Organism: Danio rerio (zebrafish)
Lineage: Eukaryota; Metazoa; Chordata; Actinopteri; Cypriniformes; Danionidae
Source: Ensembl